This is a long non-coding RNA of Camelus dromedarius (Arabian camel), 297 nucleotides long. RefSeq lists it as uncharacterized. The transcript is spliced from 2 exons. The record is from RefSeq and is a predicted model, not a curated record. Lineage: Eukaryota; Metazoa; Chordata; Mammalia; Artiodactyla; Camelidae.
AAAAGCUCGGCAUUUGUCUCGGGAGAGCCAUUCCUCAUCUGCCUUAUCUGUUCCCGAGAACCUCGAUAGUACACUCGGCUGUGUGACCACAUGAGGUCAGUGUUCAACGUGGCCCAUGGACCAGUCCAGCCAGUCACCUGUUUUUGCAUGGCCCAUGAGCUAAGAAUGGCUUUUCCAUUUCUAAAUAGUUGGAAAAAAUCAAAAGAAGAAUCAUAUUUCAUGAUGUGGGAAAAUUAUAUGAUAUCCACAUUUCAGUGUCCAUAAAUAAAGUUUUAUUGAGAUAUGCUCAUCUAUUUA